RNAcentral lists this ribosomal RNA (223 nucleotides) under uncultured fungus. RNAcentral's name for it is "partial 28S ribosomal RNA". It matches the Rfam family "Eukaryotic large subunit ribosomal RNA", at positions 57 to 276 of the family's 3401-position model. The record is from RNAcentral. Lineage: Eukaryota; Fungi.
AAAAGAAACCAACAGGGAUUGCCCUAGUAACGGCGAGUGAAGCGGCAAGAGCUCAAAUUUGAAAUCUGGCCCCCCACGGGGCCCGAGUUGUAAUUUGUAGAGGGUGCUUUGGCGAUGGUUGCGGCCUAAGUUCCUUGGAACAGGACGUCACAGAGGGUGAGAAUCCCGUAUGUGGCUGCCAGCCUCCGCCGUGUAAAGCCCCUUCGACGAGUCGAGUUGUUUG